Molecule: ribosomal RNA, 293 nt
Filed under: uncultured bacterium
Lineage: Bacteria
Description: partial 16S ribosomal RNA
Rfam family: Archaeal small subunit ribosomal RNA
Source: RNAcentral
GUGCCAGCCGCCGCGGUAAUACCGGCAGCUCAAGUGAUGUCCCGUAUUAUUGGGCCUAAAGCGUCCGAAGCUGGCCGACCAAGUCUCCCGGGAAAUCCACCCGCCCAACGGGUGGGCGUCCGGUAGAAACUGGCCGGCUUGGAACCGGAAGGCUCAGAGAGUACGUCCGGGGUAGGAGUGAAAUCCCGUAAUCCUGGACGGACCGCCGGUGGCGAAAGCGCCUCAGGAGGACGGACUCGACAGUAAGGGACGAAAGCCAGGGUCUCGAACCGGAUUAGAUACCCGAGUAGUCC